Molecule: ribosomal RNA, 449 nt
Filed under: uncultured bacterium
Lineage: Bacteria
Description: partial 16S ribosomal RNA
Rfam family: Bacterial small subunit ribosomal RNA
Source: RNAcentral
AUCCAGACUCCUACGGGAGGCAGCAGUGGGGGAUAUUGCACAAUGGAGGAAACUCUGAUGCAGCGACGCCGCGUGAGGGAAGACGGUCUUCGGAUUGUAAACCUCUGUCUUCAGGGACGAAAGCAAUGACGGUACCUGAGGAGGAAGCCACGGCUAACUACGUGCCAGCAGCCGCGGUAAUACGUAGGGGGCAAGCGUUAUCCGGAUUUACUGGGUGUAAAGGGCGUGUAGCCGGGUUGACAAGUCAGAUGUGAAAUCCUGCGGCUUAACCGCAGAACUGCAUUUGAAACUGUUGAUCUUGAGUACUGGAGAGGCAGACGGAAUUCCUAGUGUAGCGGUGAAAUGCGUAGAUAUUAGGAGGAACACCGGCGGCGAAGGCGGCCUGCUGGACCGCGACUGACGUUGAGGCUCGAAAGCGUGGGGAGCGAACAGGAUUAGAUACCCGGGUA